Molecule: ribosomal RNA, 679 nt
Filed under: uncultured spirochete
Lineage: Bacteria; Pseudomonadati; Spirochaetota; Spirochaetia; Spirochaetales
Description: bacterial SSU rRNA
Rfam family: Bacterial small subunit ribosomal RNA
Source: RNAcentral
AAGUCGAGCGGUAUAGAGGGGCUUGCCCUUCUAGAGAGCGGCGGACUGGUGAGUAACGCGUGGGUGACCUACCUUGAGGCCGGGGAUAGCCGUUAGAAAUAGCGGGUAAUACCGGAUAAGCCUGUUUUGUUAUGACGAAGCAAGGAAAGGGGCUCUGGCCCCGCCUUAAGAUGGGCCCGCGUUCCAUUAGGUAGUUGGCGGGGUAAGAGCCCACCAAGCCGAUGAUGGGUAGCCGGCCUGAGAGGGUGAACGGCCACAUUGGGACUGAGAUACGGCCCAAACUCCUACGGGAGGCAGCAGCUAAGAAUAUUCCGCAAUGGACGAAAGUCUGACGGAGCGACGCCGCGUGAAUGACGAAGGCCGAAAGGUUGUAAAAUUCUUUUGCGGAUGAAGAAUAAGGCGGGGAGGGAAUGCCCUGCUGAUGACGUUAGUCUGCGAAUAAGCCCCGGCUAAUUACGUGCCAGCAGCCGCGGUAACACGUAAGGGGCGAGCGUUGUUCGGAAUUAUUGGGCGUAAAGGGCGCGUAGGCGGUUUUGCAAGCCCGGCGUGAAAGGCAGGAGCUUAACUUCUGGAUUGCGCCGGGAACUGUGAGACUGGAGUCAUGGAGGGGGAGUUGGAAUUCCUGGUGUAGGGGUGAAAUCUGUAGAUAUCAGGAAGAACACCGGUGGCGAAGGCGAAC